RNAcentral lists this ribosomal RNA (453 nucleotides) under uncultured bacterium. RNAcentral's name for it is "bacterial SSU rRNA". It matches the Rfam family "Bacterial small subunit ribosomal RNA", at positions 30 to 478 of the family's 1533-position model. The record is from RNAcentral.
AUUGAACGCUGGCGGCAUGCUUUACACAUGCAAGUCGAACGGUAACAGGCCGCAAGGUGCUGACGAGUGGCGAACGGGUGAGUAAUGCAUCGGAACGUGCCCAGUCGUGGGGGAUAACGCAGCGAAAGCUGCGCUAAUACCGCAUACGAUCUAUGGAUGAAAGCGGGGGACCGUAAGGCCUCGCGCGAUUGGAGCGGCCGAUGUCAGAUUAGGUAGUUGGUGGGGUAAAGGCUCACCAAGCCGACGAUCUGUAGCUGGUCUGAGAGGACGACCAGCCACACUGGGACUGAGACACGGCCCAGACUCCUACGGGAGGCAGCAGUGGGGAAUUUUGGACAAUGGGCGCAAGCCUGAUCCAGCAAUGCCGCGUGCAGGAAGAAGGCCUUCGGGUUGUAAACUGCUUUUGUACGGAACGAAAAGGCUCUGGUUAAUACCUGGGGCUCAUGACGGUAC